Molecule: long non-coding RNA, 844 nt
Organism: Aplysia californica (California sea hare)
Lineage: Eukaryota; Metazoa; Mollusca; Gastropoda; Aplysiida; Aplysiidae
Exons: 3
Source: RefSeq, a predicted model, not a curated record
UUCACAGCAUCUAUCCGUCAUCGUCAGAAUCGCGCAAGAACUAGUGCUGCGCUCUUGGGCUGGCCAAUGAGUCGCUUUUGCAAAAUCCGGAUACUAUGUUAGGGUACCUCUGCGGCGAUUAAUAAAUGACGUGUUAUGAACUGCUUCGACAAUAUAAUGGGUUAGAAACACUUCCAAAAACGGGUUAGCACCACUUCAACAAAGGGGUGCACCCACUUCGGUGCAGGCAAAUGAGUCAGGAAAGAGAGUUUAGGAGUCUGGAUUCGGAUAAUGUUUCAUUGUUGAAUUAUCCGGUUAUCCGGAUAGGCUAUCCGGAUUUUGCCCACCACAACUGCGCUGCCCAUCUGCCACAGUGAGUGCCAGACCAGACCACCGUAGCAUGAGCCACAUGUGAUUCCAGCCAGCGCACUCCUUCCUCCCUCGCCGAACCACGAGAGCCACGUACCAGCGCGACGUCAUAGUAUCAUCGUCUGCUGGGAUACAACCAACCGACCGGGUAUUUGAAUAAUAAUAAUAUGGAUUAUUCCAAACGUUGAAGGAGUUAGCAAUCAUCCCUGCCUCUGCAGGAUUUGAUUUGGAAGUUGUACCAGCGGGAAAAAGGGAAAUUUGAAAUUCUAACAGAUGUUUCCAUUAAGGGAAAGGAACAAUCUAUGAAUAUUCAUCCAGGCGUGGACUGUAUAAACUUUGCUUGUCUCAGAGGAGUAUACGACUGAAAUAACCUCCUUUUUAGGAGAAAGGAGAAGAAACACUAAGCGCCCGAGCAGGACUAAAACUCUGGGCUGAGACAGAAAAUCUAAGGCAGUCCGCUUCUUGACUGAUCUCACUGAGUGGAGGCGAUAGCAGA